GACGAACGCUGGCGGCGUGCUUAACACAUGCAAGUCGAACGGAAAGGCCCUGCUUUUGUGGGGUGCUCGAGUGGCGAACGGGUGAGUAACACGUGAGUAACCUGCCCUUGACUUUGGGAUAACUUCAGGAAACUGGGGCUAAUACCGGAUAGGAGCUCCUGCUGCAUGGUGGGGGUUGGAAAGUUUCGGCGGUUGGGGAUGGACUCGCGGCUUAUCAGCUUGUUGGUGGGGUAGUGGCUUACCAAGGCUUUGACGGGUAGCCGGCCUGAGAGGGUGACCGGCCACAUUGGGACUGAGAUACGGCCCAGACUCCUACGGGAGGCAGCAGUGGGGAAUAUUGCACAAUGGGCGGAAGCCUGAUGCAGCAACGCCGCGUGCGGGAUGACGGCCUUCGGGUUGUAAACCGCUUUCGCCUGUGACGAAGCGUGAGUGACGGUAAUGGGUAAAGAAGCACCGGCUAACUACAU
RNAcentral lists this ribosomal RNA (467 nucleotides) under uncultured bacterium. Its description in RNAcentral is "partial 16S ribosomal RNA". It matches the Rfam family "Bacterial small subunit ribosomal RNA", at positions 28 to 506 of the family's 1533-position model. The record is from RNAcentral.